UGAGACAGCUUUAGUUUUAGACUUGUUAUCAGUACAGAGCCGCCAGAUGAGGACUGCCAUAUAUCAGAACCGGCUAGCCUUGGACUACCUGCUGGCCGAAGAAGGAGGGACUUCUCUUGAAGGGUUAACAGAUGAGAAAAUUAUGAUGAUGAAAGAAAACCAAGACGGAAAAGGAACAGAGAGCGCAAAAGAGAUGUAUGAGAAAUACCAGAAGUUAAGAGAAUUUUACCAAAAGUAUGAAAGUCCAGUUUGAUAAGUUAAGGCUGAUGCGGGUCAAGCCCGAUCAAAGAAUUAGAGGGGGGAUUGUUAUGAACAAAAAUAAAAUUUAAACCUUUGGGGAACGUAGUUAACAAUGGUUAAAUGUUGUUACAAAGUUAAAUGUUGUUAAUACAAGUUAAAUGUUGUUAAUACCAGUAACAAAGUGUGAUUAGUUCUAUGAAAACCCAGUAGUGUGGUUCAUGUAUAAAGGGGGAGUGGAAGCGGGGAGGAGAUGGGGUGCCAAUCUUUGUGCAGGGGCAGAGAAACUUCCAGGAGUAUUCCAUCAUAGAACACAACCACAACUUAAAUCAAGAUUGGAAGAGAGACCAACCAAUGGGAGGUGAGAAUUCCAAAAUGAUUGGCCAAGACUGCACCAACUUAUAAGUCAAUCAGCAACGGAGAAAUAGACCUGUCACAGCACAGAUCUUGAGCGCCCCAAUCAGGAGACAAGAGAGAGACUUGAAAAGGCCUGGGGUGUCUAACUCCCGCGUCUUUCCUGGGAGCCGCUUUCCCUGAAAACACCCCUAGGUUACAAUUACUAAGCUGUUGAAACAGUAUCUGGACUUGCCUGAGGCUUUUGCUGCCAGUUGUUCAUUUUGUAAUAAAGAAGCUUACUUUUUUAAUCAA
This is a long non-coding RNA of Vidua macroura (Pin-tailed whydah), 885 nucleotides long. RefSeq lists it as uncharacterized. The transcript has 2 exons. The record is from RefSeq and is a predicted model, not a curated record. Lineage: Eukaryota; Metazoa; Chordata; Aves; Passeriformes; Viduidae.